UGGGGAAUAUUGCACAAUGGGCGAAAGCCUGAUGCAGCAACGCCGCGUGAGUGAUGAAGGUCUUCGGAUUGUAAAGCUCUGUCUUUUGGGACGAUAAUGACGGUACCAAAGGAGGAAGCCACGGCUAACUACGUGCCAGCAGCCGCGGUAAUACGUAGGUGGCGAGCGUUGUCCGGAUUUACUGGGCGUAAAGGGUGCGUAGGCGGAUGUUUAAGUGAGAUGUGAAAUACCCGGGCUUAACUUGGGUGCUGCAUUUCAAACUGGAUAUCUAGAGUGCAGGAGAGGAGAAUGGAAUUCCUAGUGUAGCGGUGAAAUGCGUAGAGAUUAGGAAGAACACCAGUGGCGAAGGCGAUUCUCUGGACUGUAACUGACGCUGAGGCACGAAAGCGUGGGUAGCAAACAGGAUUAGAUACCCUGGUAGUCCGCGCCGUAAACGAUGAGUACUAGGUGUAGGAGGUAUCGACCCCUUCUGUGCCGCAGUAAACACAUUAAGUACUCCGCCUGGGAAGUACGAUCGCAAGAUUAAA
Molecule: ribosomal RNA, 527 nt
Filed under: uncultured bacterium
Lineage: Bacteria
Description: partial 16S ribosomal RNA
Rfam family: Bacterial small subunit ribosomal RNA
Source: RNAcentral